UUGUCUCAAAGAUUAAGCCAUGCAUGUCUCAGUACAAGCCGAAUUAAGGUGAAACCGCGAAAGGCUCAUUAAAUCAGUUAUGGUUCCUUAGAUCGUACCCACAUUUACUUGGAUAACUGUGGUAAUUCUAGAGCUAAUACAUGCAAACAGAGCUCCGACCGGAGACGGAAGGAGCGCUUUUAUUAGAUCAAAACCAAUCGGCGGCGGGUUCGCUCGUCGUCGUACACCUUGGUGAAUCUGAAUAACUUUCUGCUGAUCGCAUGGUCUCGCACCGGCGACGCAUCUUUCAAAUGUCUGCCUUAUCAACUGUCGAUGGUAGGUUCUGCGCCUACCAUGGUUGUAACGGGUAACGGGGAAUCAGGGUUCGAUUCCGGAGAGGGAGCCUGAGAAACGGCUACCACAUCCAAGGAAGGCAGCAGGCGCGCAAAUUACCCACUCCCGGCACGGGGAGGUAGUGACGAAAAAUAACGAUACGGGACUCAUCCGAGGCCCCGUAAUCGGAAUGAGUACACUCUAAACCCUUUAACGAGGAUCAAUUGGAGGGCAAGUCUGGUGCCAGCAGCCGCGGUAAUUCCAGCUCCAAUAGCGUAUAUUAAAGUUGUUGCGGUUAAAAAGCUCGUAGUCGAAUUUGUGUCCCGCGCCGCCGGUUCAUCGCUCGCGGUGUUUAACUGGCGUGUCCGCGGGACGUCCUGCCGGUGGGCUUAGCCCCCAAAGGGCGGCCCAACUUCAAAUCCCACCGCGGUGCUCUUCACUGAGUGUCGAGGUGGGCCGGCACGUUUACUUUGAACAAAUUAGAGUGCUUAAAGCAGGCUAAAACUUCGCCUGAAUACUGUGUGCAUGGAAUAAUGGAAUAGGACCUCGGUUCUAUUUUGUUGGUUUUCGGAACCCCGAGGUAAUGAUUAAUAGGAACGGAUGGGGGCAUUCGUAUUGCGACGUUAGAGGUGAAAUUCUUGGAUCGUCGCAAGACGGACAGAAGCGAAAGCAUUUGCCAAAAACGCUUUCAUUGAUCAAGAACGAAAGUUAGAGGUUCGAAGGCGAUCAGAUACCGCCCUAGUUCUAACCAUAAACGAUGCCAGCUAGCGAUCCGCCGACGUUCCUCCGAUGACUCGGCGGGCAGCUUCCGGGAAACCAAAGCUUUUGGGUUCCGGGGGAAGUAUGGUUGCAAAGCUGAAACUUAAAGGAAUUGACGGAAGGGCACCACCAGGAGUGGAGCCUGCGGCUUAAUUUGACUCAACACGGGAAACCUCACCAGGCCCGGACACCGGAAGGAUUGACAGAUUGAGAGCUCUUUCUUGAUUCGGUGGGUGGU
RNAcentral lists this ribosomal RNA (1309 nucleotides) under Graphelmis marshalli. Its description in RNAcentral is "partial 18S ribosomal RNA". It matches the Rfam family "Eukaryotic small subunit ribosomal RNA", at positions 32 to 1278 of the family's 1831-position model. Lineage: Eukaryota; Metazoa; Arthropoda; Insecta; Coleoptera; Elmidae. The record is from RNAcentral.